AAAUUUGUAGUUUAAAUAAAAUAUUCCGUUUACACCGGCAAGAUAGAUAGAUUGUCUCAAAUUUA
This 65-nucleotide transfer RNA is filed under the name Stylochoplana maculata. Its description in RNAcentral is "tRNA-Val". The record is from RNAcentral. Lineage: Eukaryota; Metazoa; Platyhelminthes; Polycladida; Leptoplanidae.